This 484-nucleotide ribosomal RNA is filed under the name uncultured bacterium. RNAcentral's name for it is "partial 16S ribosomal RNA". It matches the Rfam family "Bacterial small subunit ribosomal RNA", at positions 28 to 507 of the family's 1533-position model. The record is from RNAcentral.
AUUGAACGCUGGCGGCAUGCUUUACACAUGCCAGUCGAACGGCAGCGCGGGCUUCGGCCUGGCGGCGCGUGGCGAAAGGGUGUGUAAUGCAUCGGAAUGUGCUCAGUAGUGGGGGAUAGUAAGUCGAAAGAAGGAUUAAUAACGCAUACGAGCUGAGGGUGCAACCGGGGGGGGGAAAGACAGUGCGGGCUUGGAGGGACCGACGCGGGGCUUGCUAGUUGGUUGGGUAAAGGGUUACUUAGGCGAGGAUCGGCAGCUGGUCUGAGAGGACGAGCAGCCACACGGGGACUGGGACACGGCCCUGGCGCCUGCGGGAGGCAGCAGUGGGGAAUUGGAGACAAUGGGGGCAAACCUGAUCCAGCCGGGCCGCGUGCGAGAAGAAGGCCUUCCGGUUGUAAACCGCUUUUGUUCGGGAAGAAAUCCUCUGGGCUAAUACCCCGGGGGAAUGACGGUACCGGAAGAAUAAGCACCGGCUAACUACGUG